UACGGGGGGGGCAAGCGUUGUUCGGAAUUACUGGGCGUAAAGGGCUCGUAGGUGGCCAACUAAGUCAGACGUGAAAUCCCUCGGCUUAACCGGGGAACUGCGUCUGAUACUGGAUGGCUUGAGUUUGGGAGAGGGAUGCGGAAUUCCAGGUGUAGCGGUGAAAUGCGUAGAUAUCUGGAGGAACACCGGUGGCGAAGGCGGCUCACUGGACCGGAACUGACGCUGAGGCGCGAAAGCGUGGGGAGCAAACGGG
This 253-nucleotide ribosomal RNA is filed under the name uncultured bacterium. RNAcentral describes it as "partial 16S ribosomal RNA". It matches the Rfam family "Bacterial small subunit ribosomal RNA", at positions 524 to 776 of the family's 1533-position model. The record is from RNAcentral.